This 1427-nucleotide long non-coding RNA is filed under the name Homo sapiens (human). RNAcentral's name for it is "long intergenic non-protein coding RNA 2020". The record is from RNAcentral. Lineage: Eukaryota; Metazoa; Chordata; Mammalia; Primates; Hominidae.
AUAUCCACACUAUCCAAUAUGGUAACCACUAGCCACUUGUGACUACUGAGUGUCUGAAAGGUUCUGCUUGAAUUCUUGCCCUGGCUCUUGGUGAAGGAUCGGCCUGCUGGAUCUGAGUCAUCCACCUAUAAGAGGGACAACACCACACAUUGGUCGCUGCUCUCAAGCCCCUGGAAUACCACCCCACUUGGCUUCUCCUGAUACCACCCACAUAAACAAAAACUUUUUGGGAGUCCUCCAGAAUUUUUAAGAGUUAUCUAAACUAUUGCCUUUAAUGACCAGGAACUCCAAUUUGAGAAGUUACCCUACGUUAAGCCAACAGCAGCCUGGCUCCUUCAUCCUGUGCAGUAUGGGACAGAGCUGGGUCCUUGUUGUCAUCAGCCAGACAAGCACACAUUAAAGCCCACCUUAGCCAUUGGCAUUACAGCUUUAAAAGCAGCUCCAUCCUACCAUGCUGUCACUCUACUCAAUCACGUGAUCUUAACGACCAGCUCUACAUAUCCUCUCUCCAUGCCCCCACCACCAUCCCCCACCAACAAAUCCGGUAAUCUAUCUCUGUCAAUAGUCCUGCAGUGAAUUCCGAAUAAGUUUUUCUCUUCCCUGGCCUGCCGUUUACGUAGUACCCUGGAUGAAUCUAUACUUACUCCAUAGUAAGUAGUACCUUGGAUGAAUCUAUACUUGCAUCCAAUGGAAAUGAGAGUGAUGGUGCAGAGUUAUCCGAAGUAACUCCAGCUAUGUUGUGGAUCUUCUAAUCAUGGGCUCAUCUAAGCCUUCCCAGAUAUCACUCUAGUUUUUACAAUCUUUGUUUAUGACAAUUAGGGCUGUAACAUUGGCUGUAGACAUUUGUUGCAUCAAGGAACUCAGCUUCCACUGAAGUUCUGAAGUUAAUCAGUUUCUGAUCUUGUUCUGCAACUCUCUGCAAGAAGAAAAAUCACCAGGAAAUAGUGCAUCCUGAAAGGAGUCAAAGUUUCCUUAUCCAGCUGGAGCAGUGUGAUCUCGGACCAGAGUCAAUUCCUUGCCCAACAGACUUCACAUUGAGCCAUGAGAAGCAGCCUACUUACCCUUACCUGGACACUUCUCCAAAACCUGUGAAAUGGCCUCUGUCACUGCCUCAAAGCCUCAUCCUUGAUUCUGCUAUCAGCUACAGGUCUGGGUUUGUGUCUCCGACAAAGAACCACCUCAAAGCCCCACAGAAAAGGACUGUACCGUAUACUUCAAACUAUUGACACCUCAAAGAACAGAGCUUGGGUUCAGGCUUCUGAUGCAUUCUGAGACACUCUCAGACCAUACCAGUGGGCUGGGUCAGGAUUUACAGAACUAUUUUCAUUUCAAGAGCAUACGGGCUCAUGAGAUUGCUAACUCAAGAUCCGGUGGAACAGAAAUACUUAUAUCGGACUGAAUAAACUGAUGAGGAAAAUCUUAUUGCA